GGGUCUGUAGCUCAGGUGGUUAGAGCGCACCCCUGAUAAGGGUGAGGUCGGUGGUUCGAGUCCGCUCAGACCCACCA
RNAcentral lists this transfer RNA (77 nucleotides) under Aeromonas hydrophila. RNAcentral's name for it is "tRNA-Ile (GAT) (tRNA-Ile-GAT-2-1)". It matches the Rfam family "tRNA". From Rfam's summary of the family: Transfer RNA (tRNA) molecules are approximately 80 nucleotides in length. Their secondary structure includes four short double-helical elements and three loops (D, anti-codon, and T loops). The record is from RNAcentral. Lineage: Bacteria; Pseudomonadati; Pseudomonadota; Gammaproteobacteria; Aeromonadales; Aeromonadaceae.